RNAcentral lists this transfer RNA (74 nucleotides) under Lentzea sp. NBRC 105346. Its description in RNAcentral is "tRNA-Lys". It matches the Rfam family "tRNA". Rfam says of the family: Transfer RNA (tRNA) molecules are approximately 80 nucleotides in length. Their secondary structure includes four short double-helical elements and three loops (D, anti-codon, and T loops). The record is from RNAcentral. Lineage: Bacteria; Bacillati; Actinomycetota; Actinomycetes; Pseudonocardiales; Pseudonocardiaceae.
GGGCCGCUAGCUCAACUGGCAGAGCAGCGGACUUUUAAUCCGCGGGUUCAGGGUUCGAGCCCCUGGCGGCCCAC